GGUGGCCGCCAAGAGGCACAUCUGAUUCAGCAUGCCGCGUGUGUGAUAAGGCCUUCGGGUUGUAAGCUCUUUUGUCCGUUAAGAUUUCUCGUUUCCUCUACCUUCUUCCCUUGCUGUUUCCCUCCCAACAUCCGCCGUCUUACUCCGGGCUCAUCUUCUUUGUUUAUUACUUAUGUUGCGUAUCGUUGGUCCCAGCUUCUCGUCUCACUCACGCGCGCACGCGGAUGCUCUCACCCCCCAUCUCACUCCCCUCCUCUCACUCCUCAGACUUCGUUGUUUUGCGUUUUUCCUAAUUACUUUAUUUGUUUUGUUGUUGUGCCUCCAUAGCCGCCUCUUCUUAGUCGU
This 345-nucleotide ribosomal RNA is filed under the name uncultured beta proteobacterium. Its description in RNAcentral is "partial 16S ribosomal RNA". Lineage: Bacteria; Pseudomonadati; Pseudomonadota; Betaproteobacteria. The record is from RNAcentral.